RNAcentral lists this non-coding RNA (19 nucleotides) under Arabidopsis thaliana (thale cress). The record is from RNAcentral. RNAcentral also lists the same sequence under 1 other name. Lineage: Eukaryota; Viridiplantae; Streptophyta; Magnoliopsida; Brassicales; Brassicaceae.
GCGGUAAUUCCAGCUCCAA